AACGUAGGAGGCGAGCGUUAUCCGGAUUUACUGGGUGUAAAGCGCGUGCAGGCGGUUCUGCAAGUGGGACGUGAAAGCGCCCGGCUCAACCGGGCGAGGCCGUUCCGAACUGCGGGACUGGAGGCAGGUAGAGGCGUGUGGAAUUCCGGGUGUAGUGGUGAAAUGCGUAGAGAUCCGGAGGAACACCAGUGGCGAAGGCGACACGCUGGGCCUGGCCUGACGCUCAGACGCGAAAGCAUGGGGAGCGAACGGG
Molecule: ribosomal RNA, 253 nt
Filed under: uncultured bacterium
Lineage: Bacteria
Description: partial 16S ribosomal RNA
Rfam family: Bacterial small subunit ribosomal RNA
Source: RNAcentral